UACGUAGGGUGCGAGCGUUAAUCGGAAUUCCUGGGCGUAAAGCGUGCGCAGGCGGUUUUGUAAGCCAGAUGUGAAAUCCCCGGGCUUAACCUGGGAAUGGCAUUUGGGACUGCAAGGCUUGAGUGCGGCAGAGGAGACUGGAAUUCCUGGUGUAGCAGUGAAAUGCGUAGAUAUCAGGAGGAACACCGAUGGCGAAGGCAGGUCUCUGGGCUGACACUGACGCUCAUGCACGAAAGCGUGGGGAGCAAACAGG
This 253-nucleotide ribosomal RNA is filed under the name uncultured bacterium. RNAcentral's name for it is "partial 16S ribosomal RNA". It matches the Rfam family "Bacterial small subunit ribosomal RNA", at positions 524 to 776 of the family's 1533-position model. The record is from RNAcentral.